GAGAGAGAGAGAGAGAGAGAGAGAGAAGAAGCGAGCACACGACCUUAUGUACACAAAACCCAGACCCUCCACCCUAUAACAAAAUCGACGGGAUCAGAUGAGAUCACGUGUCCCCCUCACUGUACAGCUCAAGCCAUACGGGGCAGGUUGUGCGCUCGCUCGUGUAGGAAGCGCGAGGAGCCAGGCAAGUCUUCCUCCACGCGCUGCAACGACAAGCUCGAGCAGAUCACACAGUGACAGCGAGAACGGAUAUCUUUCUUAAGAUUCUGCUCUUGUGAAACAGGGCCACAGACGAACUUUUCUCCACACGGACCCAAAAGUUCAUCUGUGAACACCCGCGGAACAAACGUGCUCCUUUAUAGGCCUAUGCAGAUCAUCUGUGGUGGUCUAUGACAAUGUGUUUUUUGGUAAAGACUUAAAAAGAAUAAAUUACUCGCGACCUCUCUUUGUAUUAGCCUAUGAAAUGUAACUGACGAGAACUAAAGGAUCUCUCUAUAUUUGCAUUUGCUUCACAACAGGUUCGAGGAUCCCUGGAAUCGUCAUGUGUUCUAAUAGAACAGCAGGGUUAUUUAAAUUUCACUGCAGCAGGUUAAAGAAAUAGAAAACUAAAUAUGAUUUGCAAUCAUCAAGUAGAAUGUUUAAAAGUAGGCUAUAAUUUAAAUAUAUUCUUACAGAUGUUUAUAAGUAACCUGUAAUUUAAAAAGUUUAACAUAGGUUUAACAUAUGAACUAAUAGCAUAUGUGAUAAUUUUUCUCCAUGUUUUGGAAUAAAUGACAAUGCUGAAUAUAUGUUUCUAGGGCAGUAAACUGACAACUACGACACAGGACGGAUUACCUAAAUGCGCAUUAAUGCAAAAAUCAAUUCUUUAAAAAGGACAACUAUCGAUGUAGGCUCCACAGAUUCAGAACUGCUCCAAAAUACACCAAAAUGUUAAUGUAAAUUUCAUUCAAAGAACUGGACAGUCAUCUAGCCUAUAAGAAACCCACGGAUCCGUGUGAACAAUUCCAACAUUAGCCUAAUCUCUGUGAAGAAGAGCAUUUUUCUUGCCAUAAUUGAACGAAUAGAUGUGUAUUCGUUUGCUAAAGGACAUUGUGACGUCUGUAUUUCUAU
Molecule: long non-coding RNA, 1110 nt
Organism: Carassius carassius (crucian carp)
Lineage: Eukaryota; Metazoa; Chordata; Actinopteri; Cypriniformes; Cyprinidae
Exons: 2
Source: RefSeq, a predicted model, not a curated record